RNAcentral lists this ribosomal RNA (1373 nucleotides) under uncultured bacterium. RNAcentral describes it as "bacterial SSU rRNA". It matches the Rfam family "Bacterial small subunit ribosomal RNA", at positions 28 to 1381 of the family's 1533-position model. The record is from RNAcentral.
GAUGAACGCUGGCGGCGUGCCUAAUGCAUGCAAGUCGAGCGAACGGACGAGAAGCUUGCUUCUCUGAUGUUAGCGGCGGACGGGUGAGUAACACGUGGAUAACCUACCUAUAAGACUGGGAUAACUUCGGGAAACCGGAGCUAAUACCGGAUAAUAUUUUGAACCGCAUGGUUCAAAAGUGAAAGACGGUCUUGCUGUCACUUAUAGAUGGAUCCGCGCUGCAUUAGCUAGUUGGUAAGGUAACGGCUUACCAAGGCAACGAUGCAUAGCCGACCUGAGAGGGUGAUCGGCCACACUGGAACUGAGACACGGUCCAGACUCCUACGGGAGGCAGCAGUAGGGAAUCUUCCGCAAUGGGCGAAAGCCUGACGGAGCAACGCCGCGUGAGUGAUGAAGGUCUUCGGAUCGUAAAACUCUGUUAUUAGGGAAGAACAUAUGUGUAAGUAACUGUGCACAUCUUGACGGUACCUAAUCAGAAAGCCACGGCUAACUACGUGCCAGCAGCCGCGGUAAUACGUAGGUGGCAAGCGUUAUCCGGAAUUUAUGGGCGUAAAGCGCGCGUAGGCGGUUUUUUUAAGUCUGAUGUGAAAGCCCACGGCUCAACCGUGGAGGGUCAUUGGAAACUGGAAAACUUGAGUGCAGAAGAGGAAAGUGGAAUUCCAUGUGUAGCGGUGAAAUGCGCAGAGAUAUGGAGGAACACCAGUGGCGAAGGCGACUUUCUGGUCUGUAACUGACGCUGAUGUGCGAAAGCGUGGGGAUCAAACAGGAUUAGAUACCCUGGUAGUCCACGCCGUAAACGAUGAGUGCUAAGUGUUAGGGGGUUUCCGCCCCUUAGUGCUGCAGCUAACGCAUUAAGCACUCCGCCUGGGGAGUACGACCGCAAGGUUGAAACUCAAAGGAAUUGACGGGGACCCGCACAAGCGGUGGAGCAUGUGGUUUAAUUCGAAGCAACGCGAAGAACCUUACCAAAUCUUGACAUCCUUUGACAACUCUAGAGAUAGAGCCUUCCCCUUCGGGGGACAAAGUGACAGGUGGUGCAUGGUUGUCGUCAGCUCGUGUCGUGAGAUGUUGGGUUAAGUCCCGCAACGAGCGCAACCCUUAAGCUUAGUUGCCAUCAUUAAGUUGGGCACUCUAAGUUGACUGCCGGUGACAAACCGGAGGAAGGUGGGGAUGACGUCAAAUCAUCAUGCCCCUUAUGAUUUGGGCUACACACGUGCUACAAUGGACAAUACAAAGGGCAGCGAAACCGCGAGGUCAAGCAAAUCCCAUAAAGUUGUUCUCAGUUCGGAUUGUAGUCUGCAACUCGACUACAUGAAGCUGGAAUCGCUAGUAAUCGUAGAUCAGCAUGCUACGGUGAAUACGUUCCCGGGUCU